CCCACUUUCUAUGCUAAGUAAGUCCACAUCUUUAGUCUUUUUAGUAUCCUUGUCCUCUGGUAGGGACCUUCCAGCACGUAUACUGAAUUAUUUGUUUAUUCUUUUCUUUAUCUGCUGGUUUCUGCAAAAUGUCCUUAUAGUUCAUUCCAGAUGUCUAGCUUCAAUAGCACAUCUUUCUCAGGCUUUGUUCACUGAACCAUAUCAAAGUUAGUUUAACAAAACUUAAAGUUUUAGCACUUUUCCCAAGCUAUGUUCUCACAAAAGUAGCUAAACACUGGGUAAAAGUGAUUUAAGGCCUAACACAGCAUCUAUAAUUAAUUAAAACAACUAAUCAAAAGGUUAAUUAAAGUUAGUAAAAAUUAGAAAAGUUAUUUCCAACUGUGUGCAGAAUGACACAUUUAUGUAUUAUUUCUGCAACGAUUCAGUGCUUUACAGCCAGGAGUAUUUUUAUUUUUCUGGCAAUUAGUGCUGUGAGGAGAGCAGAAUUUUAGUUUUCACUCCAUUUUGCUUUACAUUGUACUUCUGAAAACGUAGUGUAUCCAUUAAACUUCACUUGUUGCCAUAACUGUGUAGUAUUGCAAGUAAAAAGGUUUUGUAUCAAUAAUUACAAACACACCUCUGAUUAGAUCUAAGAAUAACAAUAACAACAUGGAAAGAAUGGUUUUAAAGUUCUUCAAGUAGGGCUCUAGACUGCUUCAUAGACACACCUGCCUAUUUACUGCUUUCAGUGAAGUGGUCUUCUGUCUACAGAAAAGACCUGAGAGUUGUGGCCCUGAUUCCUAAUCGUGGUCUGCCUACAUGAAACACUGCUAGAGAUUGUGUUUGACUGUGCAGAAGGGAGGUCCCUGUGACAAAGGAGCCUCAGAGUAUACAGCACUACUAAGAACCUUUUGCCGGUUACUGCUGCUUUACCCAAGGGUGUGUCUGUAUGUGCUGUAACAGGGUGUUCUACCCUGCCGGUGCUGCACACAGGGUCCCUGUACCCACACACUGCUGCUGCUGCUAUGUGGCUGGGACUUAUCCUGUGUUUCCUAGCCUUGGCAUGCAGUCCUGCUGGGACUGAAUAUGUGACACAAAACAGGACAGCGUGGCAUUUGCUCCUUUGCAGUCUCAGGCAGGUCAGUUUUUCUAACUUGUCCUCAGAUAGGUUCUGUCAGCCACGUCCGAGAUGGAAGUGAAAUCAGAAUGAAACCUUCUGACUGAGGGGCUGUGGGGAGUUACCUGGUUCACCUUGACCCAGUGGGCAAGGCACUGGUGCAUCUAGUUUCAGUUUGUUUUUGAAAGGCAUGGUGUGAAAGCAUUAUCAGAUCCCUGCCUAGUAUCUGUGGUGUAGUUAUAUGAACUAUGCCAUAUGCUGAAGUUCAGCGGGAUGGUCUGUCUGGUGGAGCCAGCUGCCUCCUGAAGGCCUGGGAAGAAGGAAGAUUCCUAAUACUAAAACUGGAGAAGUAAAGGACAAGGGUGCUACAGUCUCUUUUGGCAUAUCAGCUCUAGUCAAUAGGCUAGGACAUGGUUGGGCUACUUCUGCCUGGUGUAAGUCUGCAGCCCAAUAUGAUAAGGAAGCCAGUGCAGACAGUGGAGGCCAUCUACUAAGCUGCAGGAACCUGGAGGCGUGUACAUCAUACACUACAUAUGCAGUGGAUUAUGCUGGUGUGAACUUCAAGAAUUGGACAAAUGCCCUCCUGAAAAUUCAGGCUGGA
Corapipo altera (White-ruffed manakin) is the source of this 1697-nucleotide long non-coding RNA. RefSeq lists it as uncharacterized. NCBI's taxonomy places the organism in Eukaryota, Metazoa, Chordata, Aves, Passeriformes, Pipridae. The record is from RefSeq and is a predicted model, not a curated record. The transcript has 3 exons.